This 445-nucleotide ribosomal RNA is filed under the name uncultured bacterium. Its description in RNAcentral is "partial 16S ribosomal RNA". It matches the Rfam family "Bacterial small subunit ribosomal RNA", at positions 354 to 796 of the family's 1533-position model. The record is from RNAcentral.
GUGAGGAAUAUUGGACAAUGGGCGCAAGCCUGAUCCAGCCAUGCCGCGUGCAGGAAGACGCAUCUAUGGUGUGUAAACUGCUUUUGUACGGGAAGAAACACUCCCUCGUGAGGGAGCUUGACGGUACCGUAAGAAUAAGGAUCGGCUAACUCCGUGCCAGCAGCCGCGGUAAUACGGAGGAUCCAAGCGUUAUCCGGAAUCAUUGGGUUUAAUGGGUCCGUAGGCGGUUUAAUAAGUCAGUGGUGAAAGCCCAUCGCUCAACGAUGGAACGGCCAUUGAUACUGUUAGACUUGAAUUACAAGGAAGUAACUAGAAUAUGUAGUGUAGCGGUGAAAUGCUUAGAUAUUACAUGGAAUACCAAUUGCGAGGGCAGGUUACUACUUGUGGAUUGACGCUGAUGGACGAAAGCGUGGGGAGCGAACAGGAUUAGAUACCCUUGUAGUCC